Molecule: non-coding RNA, 1803 nt
Organism: Macaca mulatta (Rhesus monkey)
Lineage: Eukaryota; Metazoa; Chordata; Mammalia; Primates; Cercopithecidae
Source: RefSeq, a predicted model, not a curated record
CCAGGAGGCAGAGGUUGCAGUGAGCCAAGAUUGCGUCUUUGCACUCCAGCCUGAGUGACAGGAGCGAAAAGUCUGUCCCCCCCCAAAAAAGCAACAGCUUUUGGGCAAUGAUCUACCAUUACUAUACCUCCCUUCCCUUCAUUUUCAAAAGAAAUUUUCAUGCAUUUAACAAACAUUAUUAAGAUUACAUUCUUUCUUCUCAUGUUAAGUCUUUGAAAUAUGGGGUGUAUUUUAUACUUAAAAGCAUGUCUUAAUUUGGACUAGACACAUUUCAAGUGCUCAGUAGCUACAUGUGGCUAGUGGUUACUGUAUUAGAUGCCUAGCACUAGUAUGUCUCAAAAUAACUGUUGAGGCUGGACACAGUGGCUUACACCUAUAAUCCCAGCACUUUGGGAGGUUGAAGUGGGAGGAUCGUUCCACGCUGCAGUGAGCCAUGAUCAUGCCACUGUACUCCAGCCUGAGCCACAGGGCAAAACCCUGACUCAAAAAAAAAAAAAAAAAACCCCACACAAGAUAACCCCCAAAAACGAAAGGCUGGGACCAACUAGGAUUAACACUUGCCCUGCAUUUACUUCUCUGGGUGCGGGUUGGGUAAUGCAGAAGGGAAUGACGGAAUCUGAAGCGGCUUACCCAUCAAAGGAAGAGCUGGUGCAGUCAUAUACCAUCUCUCGGUUACCCUUCAUUUGUAGAUAUGCAUCACAAUUGUCACAACCAUCAUAUUCAAACUGGUCUAUAGUCUAGGAGUGAAGAAAAAUAAAGGAAAAGGAGAGAUAAGCAUGAACAAGACCAAGAGACAAAGUAGCCUUCUCAAUACUUCGACCUGCUCAGUUUCUUGUUUCCCUAUGUUGACUUUGUCUCCCAAGGUUCCCCACCUACUACUUUCAAAGCUCCAUUCCUAAGUCCCACCCUCCCACUCCGUCCUCUCUUGUUCCCAAUUCCGUUUUAUCUAUUCCUUUCUCUACUCUGCUCACGGUCAGGCACCCUUUCCUACUACUCACUCAGCUGCGAAUCCCCACCCGCCUCUGACUCCCAGCGUCUUUCGGCUCCAACGUAAGUUCACCAAAUGUCUAAGAGCUGAGGAUUCAAAGGCAUGUAAGACCCCCCGUGCCCUCAGCUGCAAGACCUGCCCGCGAUCCUACGAGCCCGGUUCCGCCCUCUUUCCCCGACCUUGGUCCCCCAUGGUCCCUACAACCAAGUCCCCGACUGACACCUUGACCAGCGAACACAGCAAACAGGCCCGCAGAUGCCGCAGGUCCUUCGGCACUGUCUCCAGGGCCAUCUUCUCCGAUGGGAAGAGCAACAGUGAGAUACACUGCCACAGGCUGCGCACCCGCAGGAAGUAAAUAGCUCGUUACCCAGAAUGCCCGCCACUUCUGGCGCUCAGACUUCCUCUUCCGGUGUGGGCGGGCGCCUGCUCCGCCCCUACCCCCGCCAGAGGAGAUGGUUUCUCCCACCGGCAGGCGGGGAGGCGGGGCGGUCGGCCGCCACCUGGGCUGGGGCGCGUCCCCGCCACCUGAGGCCGCCAAGGGCGCGGCGGAGGCUGUGUAGGGUAGUUAGCGGGCCCCCGAGGGGCGGGGCGGGGCGGGGUGGGUGGCUGCGCUUGCGCGGGAGUUCGUCGGCUUGAGCCUCAGCGACGCGACGCGGGCCGUUUGAUCUGGGCUGCUGGCACUGGGGCGCUGGUCCCGUUCCCGAUGAAAGAGAUGAAGUUGUUACCCUGAGUGACAGUCAUGACAGAAGAAAACCACAAGACCAGACCACAUUUGUGGAUAAAUAUAUUAGCAAAUAAAUACAUUUCUCAACAUA